UACGGAGGGGGCUAGCGUUGUUCGGAAUUACUGGGCGUAAAGCGCACGUAGGCGGCUUUGCAAGUUAGAGGUGAAAGCCCGGGGCUCAACUCCGGAAUUGCCUUUAAAACUGCAUCGCUAGAAUUGUGGAGAGGUAAGUGGAAUUCCGAGUGUAGAGGUGAAAUUCGUAGAUAUUCGGAAGAACACCAGUGGCGAAGGCGACUUACUGGACACAUAUUGACGCUGAGGUGCGAAAGCCAGGGGAGCAAACGGG
RNAcentral lists this ribosomal RNA (253 nucleotides) under uncultured bacterium. RNAcentral's name for it is "partial 16S ribosomal RNA". It matches the Rfam family "Bacterial small subunit ribosomal RNA", at positions 524 to 776 of the family's 1533-position model. The record is from RNAcentral.